This 414-nucleotide ribosomal RNA is filed under the name uncultured bacterium. Its description in RNAcentral is "bacterial SSU rRNA". It matches the Rfam family "Bacterial small subunit ribosomal RNA", at positions 954 to 1369 of the family's 1533-position model. The record is from RNAcentral.
GCAGAACGCGAAGAACCUUACCUGGCCUUGACAUCCAUGGAAUCCCGAAGAGAUUGGAGUGCCGCAAGGAACCAUGAGACAGGUGCUGCAUGGCGUGUCGUCAGCUCGUGUCGUGAGAUGUUGGGUUAAGUCCCGCAACGAGCGCAACCCUUGUCCUUAGUUGCCAUCAUUAAGUUGGGAACUCUAAGGAGACCGCCGGUGACAAACCGGAGGAAGGUGGGGAUGACGUCAAGUCAUCAUGGCCUUUAUGGCCAGGGCUACACACGUGCUACAAUGGCAAGUACAGAGGGAAGCCAACCGGCGACGGGGAGCUAAUCCCAGAAAACUUGUCUUAGUCCGGAUUGCAGUCUGCAACUCGACUGCAUGAAGUUGGAAUCGCUAGUAAUCGCAGAUCAGCAUUGCUGCGGUGAAUAC